Molecule: ribosomal RNA, 253 nt
Filed under: uncultured bacterium
Lineage: Bacteria
Description: partial 16S ribosomal RNA
Rfam family: Bacterial small subunit ribosomal RNA
Source: RNAcentral
UACGAAGGGGGCUAGCGUUGUUCGGAAUUACUGGGCGUAAAGCGCGCGCAGGCGGUCUUCCAAGUCAGUGGUGAAAGCCCGGAGCUCAACUCCGGAACUGCCAUUGAAACUGUUAGACUUGAGGACGAAAGAGGUGAGUGGAAUUCCCAGUGUAGAGGUGAAAUUCGUAGAUAUUGGGAAGAACACCGGUGGCGAAGGCGGCUCACUGGCUCGUAUCUGACGCUCAGGCGCGAUAGCGUGGGGAUCAAACAGG